RNAcentral lists this ribosomal RNA (468 nucleotides) under uncultured bacterium. Its description in RNAcentral is "partial 16S ribosomal RNA". It matches the Rfam family "Bacterial small subunit ribosomal RNA", at positions 28 to 507 of the family's 1533-position model. The record is from RNAcentral.
GACGAACGCUGGCGGCGUGCUUAACACAUGCAAGUCGAACGGAAAGGCCCUGCUUUUGUGGGGUGCUCGAGUGGCGAACGGGUGAGUAACACGUGAGUAACCUGCCCUUGACUUUGGGAUAACUUCAGGAAACUGGGGCUAAUACCGGAUAGGAGCUCCUGCUGCAUGGUGGGGGUUGGAAAGUCUCGGCGGUUGGGGAUGGACUCGCGGCUUAUCAGCUUGUUGGUGGGGUAGUGGCUUACCAAGGCAUUGACGGGUAGCCGGCCUGAGAGGGUGACCGGCCACAUUGGGACUGAGAUACGGCCCAGACUCCUACGGGAGGCAGCGGUGGGGAAUAUUGCACAAUGGGCGGAAGCCUGAUGCAGCAACGCCGCGUGCGGGAUGACGGCCUUCGGGUUGUAAACCGCUUUCGCCUGUGACGAAGCGUGAGUGACGGUAAUGGGUAAAGAAGCACCGGCUAACUACGUG